UACAGAGGUCUCAAGCGUUGUUCGGAUUCAUUGGGCGUAAAGGGUGCGUAGGCGGCGCGGCAAGUCGGUCGUGAAAUCCCUCGGCUCAACCGAGGAACGUCGAUCGAUACUGCUGUUCUUGAGGAUUGCAGAGGAGACUGGAAUUCCCGGUGUAGCGGUGAAAUGUGUAGAGAUCGGGAGGAACACCGGUGGCGAAGGCGGGUCUCUGGGCAAUUCCUGACGCUGAGGCGCGAAAGCGUGGGGAGCAAACGGG
This 253-nucleotide ribosomal RNA is filed under the name uncultured bacterium. RNAcentral describes it as "partial 16S ribosomal RNA". It matches the Rfam family "Bacterial small subunit ribosomal RNA", at positions 524 to 776 of the family's 1533-position model. The record is from RNAcentral.